CCUACGGGAGGCAGCAGUGGGGAAUAUUGGGCAAUGGGCGCAAGCCUGACCCAGCAACGCCGCGUGAAGGAUGAAGGUUUUCGGAUUGUAAACUUCUGUCGCGAGGGACGAAGAAUGACGGUACCUCGUAAGAAAGCCCCGGCUAACUACGUGCCAGCAGCCGCGGUAAUACGUAGGGGGCAAGCGUUGUCCGGAAUGACUGGGCGUAAAGGGAGUGUAGGCGGCCUUGUAAGUUAGAUGUGAAAUCCUACGGCUUAACCGUAGAACUGCAUCUAAAACUGUGAGGCUGGAGUGCAGGAGAGGUGAGUGGAAUUCCUAGUGUAGCGGUGGAAUGCAUAGAUAUCACGCAGAACUCCGAUUGCGAAGGCAGCAUACCGGCGCCCAACUGACGCUGAAGCACGAAAGCGUGGGUAUCGAACAGGAUUAGAUACCCUAGUAGUC
This 441-nucleotide ribosomal RNA is filed under the name uncultured bacterium. RNAcentral's name for it is "partial 16S ribosomal RNA". It matches the Rfam family "Bacterial small subunit ribosomal RNA", at positions 338 to 795 of the family's 1533-position model. The record is from RNAcentral.